This 460-nucleotide ribosomal RNA is filed under the name uncultured bacterium. Its description in RNAcentral is "partial 16S ribosomal RNA". It matches the Rfam family "Bacterial small subunit ribosomal RNA", at positions 338 to 795 of the family's 1533-position model. The record is from RNAcentral.
CCUACGGGAGGCAGCAGUGAGGAAUAUUGGUCAAUGGACGCAAGUCUGAACCAGCCAAGCCGCGUGCAGGAUGACGGCUCUAUGAGUUGUAAACUUCUUUUGUACAGGGGUAAACCUGAAUACGUGUAUUCAUCUGAAUGUACUGUACGAAUAAGGAUCGGCUAACUCCGUGCCAGCAGCCGCGGUAAUACGGAGGAUCCAAGCGUUAUCCGGAUUUAUUGGGUUUAAAGGGUGCGUAGGCGGAUUGAUAAGUUAGAUGUGAAAUGUUCGGGCUAAACUCGGGAACUGCCUCUGAUACUGUUAUUCUAGAGUGUAGAAGAGGUAGGCGGAAUGCGUGGUGUAGCGGUGAAAUGCUUAGAGAUCAUGAAGAACACCGAUUGCGAAGGCAGCUUGCCAGACUAUAACUGACGCUGAGGCUCGAAAGCGUGGGGAGCAAACAGGAUUAGAUACCCGAGUAGUC